This 467-nucleotide ribosomal RNA is filed under the name uncultured bacterium. RNAcentral's name for it is "partial 16S ribosomal RNA". It matches the Rfam family "Bacterial small subunit ribosomal RNA", at positions 28 to 506 of the family's 1533-position model. The record is from RNAcentral.
GACGAACGCUGGCGGCGUGCUUAACACAUGCAAGUCGAACGGAAAGGCCCUGCUUUUGUGGGGUGCUCGAGUGGCGAACGGGUGAGUAACACGUGAGUAACCUGCCCUUGACUUUGGGAUAACUUCAGGAAACUGGGGCUAAUACCGGAUAGGAGCUCCUGCUGCAUGGUGGGGGUUGGAAAGUUUCGGCGGUUGGGGAUGGACUCGCGGCUUAUCAGCUUGUUGGUGGGGUAGUGGCUUACCAAGGCUUCGACGGGUAGCCGGCCUGAGAGGGUGACCGGCCACAUUGGGACUGAGAUACGGCCCGGACUCCUACGGGAGGCAGCGGUGGGGAAUAUUGCACAAUGGGCGGAAGCCUGAUGCAGCAACGCGGCGUGCGGGAUGAGGGCCUUCGGGUUGUAACCCGCUUUCGCCUGUGACGAAGCGUGAGGGACGGUAAUGGGUAAAGAAGCACCGGCUAACUACGU